This 439-nucleotide ribosomal RNA is filed under the name uncultured bacterium. RNAcentral's name for it is "partial 16S ribosomal RNA". It matches the Rfam family "Bacterial small subunit ribosomal RNA", at positions 339 to 795 of the family's 1533-position model. The record is from RNAcentral.
CUACGGGUUGCAGCAGUGGGGAAUAUUGCACAAUGGGGGAAACCCUGAUGCAGCAACGCCGCGUGGAGGAUGACGCAUUUCGGUGUGUAAACUCCUUUUAUAUCCCAAGAUAAUGACGGUAGGAUAUGAAUAAGCACCGGCUAACUCCGUGCCAGCAGCCGCGGUAAUACGGAGGGUGCAAGCGUUACUCGGAAUCACUGGGCGUAAAGGGCGCGUAGGCGGGUUGUCAAGUCUUGAGUGAAAUCCAACGGCUCAACCGUUGAACUGCUUGAGAAACUGGCAGCCUAGAGUAAGGGAGAGGUAGAUGGAAUUGGUGGUGUAGGGGUAAUCUCCGUAGAGAUCACCAGGAAUACCCAUUGCGAAGGCGAUCUGCUGGAACUUUACUGACGCUGAGGCGCGAAAGCGUGGGGAGCAAACAGGAUUAGAUACCCGGGUAGUC